GUAGGGAAUAUUAGUAAUGGGCGAAAGCCUGAACUAACAACGCCGCGUGUGCGAAGAAGGCCUUCGGGUUGUAAAGCACUUUUUGAGAGGAUGAGGAAGGACGGUACUCUCAGAAUAAGUCUCGGCUAACUACGUGCCAGCAGCCGCGGUAACACGUAGGAGGCGAACGUUAUCCGGAUUUACUGGGCGUCAAGCGCGUGUAGGUGGUUUGGUAAGUAGGGCGUGAAAGCUCCUGGCUCAACUGGGAGAGGCCGUUCUAAACUGCCGAACUAGAGGAUGGUAGAGGGAGGUGGAAUUCCGGGUGUAGCGGUGGAAUGCGCAGAUAUCCGGAGGAACACCAGUGGCGAAAGCGGCCUCCUGGACCACUCCUGACACUCAGACGCGAAAGCUAGGGUAGCAAACGGGAUUAGAAACCCUGGUAGUCC
Molecule: ribosomal RNA, 425 nt
Filed under: uncultured bacterium
Lineage: Bacteria
Description: partial 16S ribosomal RNA
Rfam family: Bacterial small subunit ribosomal RNA
Source: RNAcentral